This 570-nucleotide ribosomal RNA is filed under the name Porpidia sp. Lendemer 297120 (NY - 01228628). RNAcentral's name for it is "eukaryotic LSU rRNA". The stretch from base 249 to 402 matches the Rfam family "5.8S ribosomal RNA". Lineage: Eukaryota; Fungi; Ascomycota; Lecanoromycetes; Lecideales; Lecideaceae. The record is from RNAcentral.
GGAAGUAAAAGUCGUAACAAGGUUUCCGUAGGUGAACCUGCGGAAGGAUCAUUAACGAGAGUGGGACCCCGCGUCCCCCGGGGCUCCGGCCCCGACUCUUCACCCUGUGCGUACCUACCUUUGUUGCUUCGGCGGGCCGUCGUUCGCGCCGCGGACGCCUGAGGUUCACCCCCAGGCUUCGCGUGUGCCCGCCGGAGGCCCUUUAAACCCCGUUACCGAUGCCGUCUGAGGAGAAAUUCAAUAACUAAAACUUUCAACAACGGAUCUCUUGGUUCUGGCAUCGAUGAAGAACGCAGCGAAAUGCGAUAAGUAAUGUGAAUUGCAGAAUUCAGUGAAUCAUCGAAUCUUUGAACGCACAUUGCGCCCCUUGGUAUUCCGGGGGGCAUGCCUGUUCGAGCGUCAUUGCAACCCUCAAGCACUGCUUGGUCAUGGGCCCCGUCCGCAGGGACGUGCCCGAAAGUCAGUGGCGGUCCAGCCGGGACUCCGGGCGUAGUAAACUUUAUCCCGCUCAUGGAAGCUCUCGCGGCGGCCAGCCAACCCCCCAGUUUUCAAUGGUGACCUCGGAUCAGG